AAUUUAAUUCAUGCGUUUUGUUUAGAUUUUUACUGUUGUUUAUUUGUCUUUAUUGGGCGCUAAGAUUAAGGGGGAUUAGCUCCUUGUUUUGUUUUUAUAAUUUUUGUGUGUAAUUUAGUUUUGUGGAUUUUAUAGUGAUUUUCGAUUUGAUUAUGUUAAAAUUUUAUUUAUUUUUUUUGUUAUUUUAUUUUGUUUAAUUAUUUAUUGGAAUGUUUUCUUUACUUUUUGUUGGAUUGUAAUUAUUGUGGGAUUAGUAAAUUUGUUUAUUGUAUUGUUUAUAUUUCUGUUUAAUUUCUUUUGAGGAAUUAGGCAAAAUUUUGUGUGUCCGCCUGUUUAACAAAAACAUCUUUUCUUGUUAGUUUUUGAAGUAUGGCCUGCCCGCUGACGUUUAAGUUGAAGGGCCGCGGUAUUUUGACCGUGCAAAGGUAGCAUAAUCAUUAGUUCUUUAAUUGUGAUCUGGAAUGAAUGGCUUGACGAGGCAUGAGCUGUCUUAGUGUUGAAUGUUUUAUUGAAUUUGGUCUUUGAGUUAAAAUUCUUAGAUGUUUUUAUGGGACGAGAAGACCCUAUAGAGUUUAACAUUUGGUUUAUUUAUUUAUUGGUUGUUUGUUUGUUUUUUGGUAAGUGGGCCUUUUGUUUUGUUGGGGUGAUGAGAGGAAUGAUUUAACUCCUCUUGGUUUUGGUUAUAUUGAUUUAUA
Molecule: ribosomal RNA, 695 nt
Filed under: Coptotermes frenchi
Lineage: Eukaryota; Metazoa; Arthropoda; Insecta; Blattodea; Rhinotermitidae
Description: partial 16S ribosomal RNA
Rfam family: Bacterial large subunit ribosomal RNA (bases 299-493)
Source: RNAcentral